RNAcentral lists this long non-coding RNA (980 nucleotides) under Ananas comosus (pineapple). Its description in RNAcentral is "long non-coding RNA (ACOM_LNC034517)". The record is from RNAcentral. Lineage: Eukaryota; Viridiplantae; Streptophyta; Magnoliopsida; Poales; Bromeliaceae.
UCAUAUAUGUCCCUGCAGACAUAAUGAAUGAUAAAUAUAUUUAUAUAAAGUUCAACUUUCAUAUAUUAUUUCUAUAAAAAUUCUAAUAUUUUUAAAUAUGUCUCCACUGUUAGAAUUCGUUAUAAAAAUUUAGUUAAUCAUAGAUUAAAUACUUAACUCUGGUUAAUUUUUGACAUUUUUACCUCUCUUAUAUUAUACUGUUAUGACUUUUGAAGGGACAUUUGUGAUGGCAAAAUUGAAAAUAUGAGUUGAGCUAAAAUACUAUCGAUUGCAAACGGACUCCGUUGGCAUUCAUUUGUUUUCGAUGAUAGGGCCUCUAAAUCGACGAUCGGCACCGUUGAACAUGAUCUAUACCAUUUGAAGUGUUUAGAAAUCAAAUUUUAUACAUUUUCGAUAUUAUUCUCUUAUCCAUCGAGUGGACACAAAAAUGAACGGCUGAAAAUGAAUAUUCUUUAAAAAAUGAUGAUAGGAGUCUUGUAAUCAAGAUCAAGAAUAUAGAUCUUGUUUUAAAUAGUUUAAAGAAUUUUCUAACAAAAAUUCAAUUGAUUUGGAUAUCUUUACGCCGUUAAACGAGAAAAUGCCUCAUAUCGACCAUUAAAAUUAUAAAUUUUGAAACCAUUUGAUCAUUAGGCAAAUAAUGUCGAAAAGAUUUGAAAUUUGAUUUCUAAACAUUUCAAGUGGUGUAGAUCAUGUUCAACGGUGCCGAUCGUCGAUUUGGAGACUUCAUCAUCGAAAAUAAAUGGGUGGCAACGGAGCCCGUUUGCUAUCGAUAGUAUUCUAGCUCAACUCUUGAAAAUAUAAACGGUUUUCUAAUGAUUCUGUAACGGUAACAAAUUAGAGAGACAUAUUUGAAAAUAUUAGACUUUUACAGAAAGAACAUAUGAAAGUAAAACUUUAUAGAGAUAUAUUUGCUAUUUACUAUAUUUACAGGAACCCGCAUGAAAUUAAUCUUAUAGUUUAAUUAUUAAAUUGUCAUAAAC